This 447-nucleotide ribosomal RNA is filed under the name uncultured bacterium. RNAcentral's name for it is "partial 16S ribosomal RNA". It matches the Rfam family "Bacterial small subunit ribosomal RNA", at positions 29 to 523 of the family's 1533-position model. The record is from RNAcentral.
AGCGAACGCUGGCGGCAGGCUUAACACAUGCAAGUCGAACGGUCCUUCGGGAUAGUGGCGGACGGGUGAGUAACACGUGGGAACGUACCCUUAGGUUCGGAACAACACAGGGAAACUUGUGCUAAUACCGGAUAAGCCCUUCGGGGGAAAGAUUUAUCGCCUUUGGAGCGGCCCGCGUCUGAUUAUCUUGCUGGUGAGGUAAUGGCUCACCAAGGCUACGAUCAGUAGCUGGUUUGAGAGGAUGGCCAGCCACACUGGUACUGAGACACGGCCCAGAGUCCUACGGGAGGCAGCAGUGGGGAAUCUUGCGCAAUGGGCGAAAGCCUGACGCAGCAAUGCCGCGUGGAUGAUGAAGGUCUUAGGAUUGUAAAAUCCUUUCACCGGGGACGAUAAUGACGGUACCCGGAGAAGAAGCCCCGGCUAACUUCGUGCCAGCCGCCGCCGUAA